RNAcentral lists this ribosomal RNA (301 nucleotides) under uncultured bacterium. Its description in RNAcentral is "partial 16S ribosomal RNA". It matches the Rfam family "Bacterial small subunit ribosomal RNA", at positions 509 to 807 of the family's 1533-position model. The record is from RNAcentral.
CAGCAGCCGCGGUAAUACCGAGGAUGCAAGCGUUAUCCGGAAUGAUUGGGCGUAAAGCGUCUGUAGGUGGCUUUUCAGGUCCGCCGUCAAAUCCCAGGGCUCAACCCUGGACAGGCGGUGGAAACUACCAAGCUGGAGUACGGUAGGGGCAGAGGGAAUUUCCGGUGGAGCGGUGAAAUGCGUAGAUAUAUGGAGGAACACCGGUGGCGAAAGCGGCUCUCUGGUCUGUAACUGACGCUGAGGCUCGAAAGCGUGGGGAGCAAACAGGAUUAGAUACCCGUGUAGUCCCUGUCUCUUAUAC